This 217-nucleotide long non-coding RNA is filed under the name Gossypium barbadense (sea-island cotton). RNAcentral describes it as "long non-coding RNA (GBAR_LNC003025)". The record is from RNAcentral. Lineage: Eukaryota; Viridiplantae; Streptophyta; Magnoliopsida; Malvales; Malvaceae.
CAAAACAUAUUAAAACCAUCAAGAAAAAUUAAGCGGCCUUAUUACAUUUAAAAACCCAAAACAUUAAGUGUAAAUAAAAGGAUGUCCAGUUCACCAGAAGAAAAAUCGAAUUUACAGAACGUGUGGCCACUCCGAAUCCCUCACAGCUCCAUGCCCACUAUGGUUGGGGAGUACCUGCGUGGAUGAAAAUAAAGGGGUGAGUUUGGGGAAACUCAGU